Oncorhynchus keta (chum salmon) is the source of this 3399-nucleotide long non-coding RNA. RefSeq lists it as uncharacterized. NCBI's taxonomy places the organism in Eukaryota, Metazoa, Chordata, Actinopteri, Salmoniformes, Salmonidae. The transcript has 6 exons. The record is from RefSeq and is a predicted model, not a curated record.
GUGUGUGUGUGAGUGAGUGUGUGUGAGUGCGUGUGUGUGUGUGAAUGAGUGAGUGAGUGUGUGUGAGUGAGUGUGUAUGUGUGAGUGUGUGGUGUGUGUGUGUGAGUGAGUGUGUGUGUGUGUGAGUGUGUGGUGUGUGUGUGUGAGUGUGUGUGAGUGAGUGAGUGUGUGUGUGUGUGAGUGUGUGGUGUGUGUGUUCUCAGAGAUCAAACUCUACUCCAGUGUUUGUGUUUUUGCCCUUUCUGAAGUGUGUGCCAUGCCUUGGCCCAUUAGAUGUAUAUAGAGCUGUCCGAGGGCCGUGUACAGUGUUCUUGUGUUGUGACUGCCUUGCUGUGUUCUCUCAGAUGGCCACUUUUCACAAUGUAGCCAACCAGCCAAUAAAUCUACAAUGAUCCCAGUUUACAGUAUGUCUGUAUAUCAAGUCUGGGGGCUAACAUCAUGUGUUCAUGUGCCAAGUCCACAGUCCCUUUUCUAAAGGAGCGUAGAAAUAGAAUGUCUAUGAGUUUACCUGUCACAAUGCCGUGGUCAGACGGGCUUUUCCCCCUUUCUACUCAUUCUAUUUCUAGGAAUUGGAUAGAAUUCACUAGGAACAAAAACGUAUUUAUUUUCUCAUUUUACCCCCUAUUUAUGGUAUCCAAUUGUUAGUAGUUACGAUCUUUUCUCAUUGCUACAACUCCCGUACGGGCUCGGGAGAGACGAAGGUCGAGAGACAUGCGUCCUCCGAUACACGACCAAGCCGCACUGCUUCUUAACACAGAGCGCAUCCAACCCGGAAGCCAGCUGCACCAAUGUGUCAGAGGAAACACCGUGCACCUGGCGACCUGGUUAGCGUGCACUGCGCCCGGCCCACCACAGGAGUCGCUAGUGUGCGAUGAGACAAGGAUAUCCCUACCGGCCAAACCCUCCCUAACCCGGACGACGCUGGGCCAAUUGUGCAUCGCUCCAUGGACCUCCCGGUCGCGGCCGGCUGCGACAGAGCCUGGGCUCGAACCCAGAGUCUCUGGUGGUACAGCUAGCACUGCGAUGCAGGCGCCCUAGACCACUGCACCACCCGGGAGGCCACGUGCACACAUUUGAUUGUCACAUGCACACAUUUGAUUGUCACGUGCACACGUUUUAUUGUCACGUGCACACGUUUUAUUGUCAAGUGCACAAGUACAGUGAAAUGCUUAACUUGCGAGCUCUACCCAACAGUGCAGUAAUCAAUAUCAAAAUAUUAUAACUAAAAAUAAAAACAUUAGAAAUAAGAAAUUAAAGCGGAAGAUUUAUGCUGGCUCAGUGUUCAGUACCUCAAAGAGGAAGCUUUAGGCUGGCUCAAUGUGCAGUACCUCAAAGAGGAAGCUUUAUACUGGCUCAGUGUUCAGUACCUCAAAGAGGAAGCUUUAGGCUGGCUGAGUGUGCAGUACCUCAAAGAGGAAGCUUUAUACUGGCUCAGUGUUCAGUACCUCAAAGAGGAAGCUUUAGGCUGGCUGAAUGUGCAGUACCUCAAAGAGGAAGCUUUAGGCUGGCUGAAUGUGCAGUACCUCAAAGAGGAAGCUUUAUACUGGCUCAGUGUUCAGUACCUCAAAGAGGAAGCUUUAUACUGGCUCAGUGUUCAGUACCUCAAAGAGGAAGCUUUAUACUGGCUCAGUGUGCAGUACCUCAAAGAGGAAGCUUUACACUGGCUCAGUGUUCAGUACCUCACUAGCUCAGAGAGGAAGCUUUAUACUGGCUCAGUGUUCAGUACCUCACUAGCUCAGAGAUGAAGCUUUAUACUGGCUCAGUGUUCAGUACCUCACUAGCUCAGAGAGGAAGCAUUAUACUGGCUCAGUGUUCAGUACCUCAGAGAUGAAGCUUUAUACUGGCUCAGUGUUCAGUACCUCAUAGAGGAAGCUUUAUACUGGCUCAGUGUUCAGUACCUCAGAGGAAGCUUUAUACUGGCUCAAUGUUCAGUACCUCACUAGCUCAGAGAGGAAGCUAUAUACAGGGUCACUGCCAGUACCACAUUUACAAUGUGCAGGGGUAAUAGACUAUUGAGGUAGAUAGGGACAUAUAGUCAGGGAUACUGGAGUAUUGAGGUAGAUAUGGGCAUAUAGUCAGGGAUACUGGAGUAUUGAGGUAGAUAUGGACAUAUAGUCAGGGAUACUGGAGUAUUGAGGUAGAUAUGGACAUAUAGUCAGGGAUACUGGAGUAUUGAGGUAGAUAGGGACAUAUAGUCAGGGAUACUGGAGUAUUGAGGUAGAUAUGGACAUAUAGUCAGGGAUACUGGAGUAUUGAGGUAGAUAUGGACAUAUAGUCAGGGAUACUGGAGUAUUGAGGUAGAUAGGGACAUAUAGUCAGGGAUACUGGAGUAUUGAGGUAGAUAGGGACAUAUAGUCAGGGAUACUGGAGUAUUGAGGUAGAUAUGGACAUAUAGUCAGGGAUACUGGAGUAUUGAGGUAGAUAUGGACAUAUAGUCAGGGAUACUGGAGUAUUGAGGUAGAUAUGGACAUAUAGUCAGGGAUACUGGAGUAUUGAGGUAGAUAUGGACAUAUAGUCAGGGAUACUGGAGUAUUGAGGUAGAUAGGGACAUAUAGUCAGGGAUACUGGAGUAUUGAGGUAGAUAUGGACAUAUAGUCAGGGAUACUGGAGUAUUGAGGUAGAUAUGGACAUAUAGUCAGGGAUACUGGAGUAUUGAGGUAGAUAGGGACAUAUAGUCAGGGAUACUGGAGUAUUGAGGUAGAUAUGGACAUAUAGUCAGGGAUACUGGAGUAUUGAGGUAGAUAUGGACAUAUAGUCAGGGAUACUGGAGUAUUGAGGUAGAUAUGGACAUAUAGUCAGGGAUACUGGAGUAUUGAGGUAGAUAGGGACAUAUAGUCAGGGAUACUGGAGUAUUGAGGUAGAUAUGGACAUAUAGUCAGGGAUACUGGAGUAUUGAGGUAGAUAUGGACAUAUAGUCAGGGAUACUGGAGUAUUGAGGUAGAUAUGGACAUAUAGUCAGGGAUACUGGAGUAUUGAGGUAGAUAUGGACAUAUAGUCAGGGAUACUGGAGUAUUGAGGUAGAUAUGGACAUAUAGUCAGGGAUACUGGAGUAUUGAGGUAGAUAUGGACAUAUAGUCAGGGAUACUGGCGUAUAAAGGGAAUUCUUGAAAGUGACUGGUAGCAGAAAAUAAUGACUGGUAUAUAAAUAAUAAUAUUAAUAAUGAUAAUAAUAAUAAUAUUAUUAUGAAUAAUGAUAAUGAUAAUAAUAACAAUGAUAAUAACACCAAUGAUCAUAAUAAUAAUAAUAAUAUUAUGAAUAAUAGUAAUGAUAAUUAUAAUAUUAUUAAUCAUACAAUAAUAAUAUUAAUAAUAAUAAUGAUAAUAUAACGAUAAUGAUAAUAUCAAUGAUAAUUAUGAUAAUAUUAAUAAUAAUUAUGAUGAUAAUAAUAAUGAACAUAU